CAACUAUUUAUUCAAUUAUUUAUGAACUAAAUCAUGUUUUUUUUUUUUUUUUUACCUGGGUUACAAUCAUUUUUAUGGUGUUCCUCCGGUGUGUAAUGUGGCUCAGGUGUGUAAUGUGGCUCAGGUGUGUAGUGUUCAUCAGGUGUGUAAUGUGGCUCAGGUGUGUGAUUUGUCUCAGGUGUGUUUAAUGUGUCUCAGGUGUGUGAUGUGACUCAAGUGUGUAAUGUGCCACAGGUGUGUAGUGUUCCUCAGGUGUCGUUGUCAUUCGUAUAAUUUCGUCUUUCACAAUUCAGACUGGGAUGUCUGCAUCCUCCAGCCCCUUAAUGGUAGCAUGGGCAAGAGCGAGGAGACCGUCUAGCCCAUUGGGUGGC
Long non-coding RNA from Clupea harengus (Atlantic herring), 371 nucleotides. The record is from Ensembl. Lineage: Eukaryota; Metazoa; Chordata; Actinopteri; Clupeiformes; Clupeidae.